Long non-coding RNA from Lates calcarifer (barramundi perch), 1446 nucleotides. RefSeq lists it as uncharacterized. The transcript is spliced from 4 exons. Lineage: Eukaryota; Metazoa; Chordata; Actinopteri; Centropomidae. The record is from RefSeq and is a predicted model, not a curated record.
AUAUGUGUUUCAGUGGCUGGUUCACUGACUUAUAUAUUUACAUUUCUUUAGUAGACUGGAGACAUGAGGGUUGAUUGACUGGGCAACGUUUCCCCGUCCUACCUUGGUGUCUCUCUCUGGAUUCAUCCUGAUGAAAUGCCUGAAAAAAAGGAGCGUGUGUUCAGAGUUGGUGUGGAACACAAGUUUACUUAUGAGAUAAUAAUAAUGUUAAAAAUCUUUAUGUAUCAACAGGACUUCUUUACUACCCUAACUGUAGGUGAUGUUACAUUUUAUAAUCUUUGUAGGAGUUACACAUUGUUGAAUCUAGGUGAAACAUUUCAGUGAAAAUUGAAGGCUGUUCACUUAAUCAUCAAUUCUCAGCGCUUUUCAGUCUUUACUUUGAGUGAUCGACCUCCCUGUUUCGACCAAUCAGAACCGAAAUAGGCGGAGCAGAGUCUUCCAACCAAUCAGCGUUUUUUCUGUCGACGUUGGCUAGCGUGCGUCGUCACUGGCUGUGACGUUCGAGCGGGAGAGGAAGGGAGGAGGAAGAAGGGGGUAGAAUGGCGGUGAAAGAAAAUGGGGAAAACAGUGAAAAUACGAAGUAUAACCAAAGUUUGAGUCGUCGCAUUGGGUUGUUAGCACUAUGAGAACCUUCAUUACCAAAGAAGUCCGCAUGCUAAAACAAGCCUUGGAGCUGUUUUUGUGGAACAGGAAUGAGGCUGGCCGCUAAACACACCUGCGGUGAAGGUCUACUUGUUCAGCUGCUGCAGCCUGGAUGAAAAUACUAGCUCUCAAUUUACAGAGCAGAGAGGACUCAAACUUCACCCAGUGAGUCACAGAGAGAAGAGGCGGACAUGAAGAUUUCCAGAAGGUCCAGAGCCAGCUGCUGUCAUCUCCUCCUGCAGAGACAAAACAACACGUUAAUCACACCCUCUGAGAAGAUGUAUAUUGUGUGUAUCUCAUAUUGACAAAUAAUCAACUCAAAUACAUGACGUAUCUUCGCAGCUGACUUGCAUUAUGUGGUGUUUGAUUUUUGUUUGAUUUUUUUUAUGAGUGAAUAAACUGUCUUUUUUCUCUUCUAAUUAUAUUUACAUUUUAAUACAUAAAACUGUCUGUUCAUAGUAAGUUUCAAAACUAUUUUGUUCUUGGCGUUUUUAAUAGAAAUAACAAGAUUUUCUUACCUUCAGUGAAUCCAGUUGUUUCUGUGAUUUCACCUCAACAAUUAUUAAAACCAGGCUUUUUCCAAAUACAUAAAAUUAAUUAAAAAUGACUUUCUAACAAUGAGUUAAGUCUAUGAAUUAUUCAGACAAUGAGAACAGCUACUGAACAUAUAUAAUGUCAGUGCUCUGUGUUUCUAAAUCACCUGAAGGACACUGUAGUUAUCAAUGGACUAUAUCUUUAAGAACCAACUAACGCAAAUGUUUUGAAAACUGACGUUAACAAUUGAAAUAGGUGAAUGUUUUUGAA